RNAcentral lists this long non-coding RNA (726 nucleotides) under Rosa chinensis. RNAcentral describes it as "sRNA RchiOBHm_Chr5g0072601". The record is from RNAcentral. Lineage: Eukaryota; Viridiplantae; Streptophyta; Magnoliopsida; Rosales; Rosaceae.
GACUAUGAAAUCAGAAUCCUAGCUUACGAGAUCUAAUUGAUUUCAUCUCAGAGUCCAUAGACUCCGACUGGCGGACUCAAAGUGGUUCACCGUUCACUCCCUUACCGCCUCUCUCUUUUUCCGACGACAUUCUCUCCCAAACCUCUCUCCGUCCGUGAAAGAUCAGCGUCCGAUUCAAGCAUUUUCUUCCUCAAAUGAGCAUCGUCGGAUCUUGUAUCUCACUCGCAGCGAUUCGUGCAUAGCUUGACCUCCAUGGCGUCGAUUUCUAGUGACAGUUCAUAUGGCAAGGCUCUGAUGAUGGGAACUACAACUGUAACCACACUUUGAAAGAUCAUACAACUGAGUAUGGAUAGAGAAGUAUGUGGGGACUUGUAUCCAACCCGGACCGAGCACAAGCUCUUUUAAUUGGAUGGCUUCAGAACUACAUUCCUUGUUUGCAGUCAGGGAAGUUUGUGGAUGCAUGCAUUCUUCCAUGGAGUCAUAUGACUAUGAGAUGAUGGCUUUAUGAUGUACGACUUCUUUAUGGGAAAUGGUUGGCAUGUGGCAUCAUAUCAAGCUAUCAUCAGCCCCUUCAAGUACUCAUGUAAUCAAUCAGAAGACAAGUCUAAUCUAGCUAGCAUGUUCUAUAUUUGAAAACCAGUUUAAUUAUACUAUGAUUUUGUAAUAUGAAGUUACUUAAUUGAUAUAAUUUACUACAUGAAUACUUUUGUUUACCAUGCUUGAAUG